AAUAUAUUGAGAAAUUACAGACAGUAGCCUACAAGCAGCAAAAUUGCACAUAGUUCUAUGAAGAGCUUGUUUCCUAGGUUAGGGAUUAUGUGCAAUGAAGAGCUUGUUUCCUAGGUUAGGGAUUAUGUGCAAUGAAGAGCUUGUUUCCUAGGUUAGGGAUUAUGUGCAAUGAAGAGCUUGUUUCCUAUGUUAGGGAUUAUGUGCAAUGAAGAGCUUGUUUCCUAGGUUAGGGAUUAUAUGCAAUGAAGAGCUUGUUUCCUAGGUUAGGGAUUAUGUGCAAUGAAGAGCUUGUUU
This is a non-coding RNA of Oncorhynchus mykiss (rainbow trout), 294 nucleotides long. The record is from RefSeq and is a predicted model, not a curated record. Lineage: Eukaryota; Metazoa; Chordata; Actinopteri; Salmoniformes; Salmonidae.